AGCAUCUAUACGGUGAACUGCGAAUGGCUCAUUAAAUCAGUUAUCGUUUAUUUGAUAGUACCUUACUACUKGGAUAACCGUGGUAAUUCUAGAGCUAAUACMUGCUAAAAACCCCGACUUACGGAGGGGUGUAUUUAUUAGAURAAAAACCAAUGCCCUUCGGGGCUCCCUGGUGAUUCAUAAUAACUUAACGAAUCGCAUGGCCUUGUGCCGGCGAUGGUUCAUUCAAAUUUCUGCCCUAUCAACUUUCGAUUGUAAGGUCUUGGCUUACAAUGGUUUCAACGGGUAACGGGGAAUUAGGGUUCUAUUCCGGAGAGUGAGCCUGAGAAACGGCUAACACAUCCAAGGAAGGCAGCAGGCGCGCAAAUUACCCAAUCCCGACACGGGGAGGUAGUGACAAUAAAUACUGAUACAGGGCUCUUUUGGGUCUUGUAAUUGGAAUGAGUACAAUUUAAAUCCCUUAACGAGGAACAAUUGGAGGGCAAGUCUGGUGCCAGCAGCCGCGGUAAUUCCAGCUCCAAUAGCGUAUAUUAAAGUUGUUGCAGUUAAAAAGCUCGUAGUUGAACCUUGGGCCUGGCUGGCCGGUCCGCCUCACCGCGUGCACUGGUCCGGCCGGGUCUUUCCUUCUGGGGAGCCGCAUGCCCUUCACUGGGUGUGUCGGGGAACCAGGACUUUUACUUUGAAAAAAUUAGAGUGUUCAAAGCAGGCCUAUGCUCGAAUACAUUAGCAUGGAAUAAUAGAAUAGGACGUGUGGUUCUAUUUUGUUGGUUUCUAGGACCGCCGUAAUGAUUAAUAGGGAUAGUCGGGGGCAUCAGUAUUCAAUUGUCAGAGGUGAAAUUCUUGGAUUUAUUGAAGACUAACUACUGCGAAAGCAUUUGCCAAGGAUGUUUUCAUUAAUCAGUGAACGAAAGUUAGGGGAUCGAAGACGAUCAGAUACCGUCGUAGUCUUAACCAUAAACUAUGCCGACUAGGGAUCGGGCGAUGUUAUCUUUUGACUCGCUCGGCACCUUACGAGAAA
RNAcentral lists this ribosomal RNA (1018 nucleotides) under Cistella granulosella. Its description in RNAcentral is "SSU rRNA". It matches the Rfam family "Eukaryotic small subunit ribosomal RNA", at positions 68 to 1108 of the family's 1831-position model. Lineage: Eukaryota; Fungi; Ascomycota; Leotiomycetes; Helotiales. The record is from RNAcentral.